ACGGGAGGCAGCAGUGAGGAAUAUUGGUCAAUGGGCGGAAGCCUGAACCAGCCAAGUCGCGUGAAGGAUGAAGGUAUUAUGUAUUGUAAACUUCUUUAGCAGCAGAGUAAUAAGGCCCUCGUGAGGGCUGAUGCAAGUAUGCUGAAAAUAAGGAUCGGCUAACUCCGUGCCAGCAGCCGCGGUAAUACGGAGGAUCCGAGCGUUAUCCGGAUUUAUUGGGUUUAAAGGGAGCGCAGGCGGAGAGGCAAGCCAGCCGUAAAAUCGUUGAGCUCAACUCAAUCUCGCGGUUGGAACUGCUUCCCUUGAGUGCACGAGAGGAUGGUGGAAUUCGUGGUGUAGCGGUGAAAUGCAUAGAUAUCACGAAGAACUCCGAUUGCGAAGGCAGCCAUCUGGCGUGUUACUGACGCUCAUGCUCGAAGGCGCGGGUAUCAAACAGGAUUAGAUACCCUGGUA
RNAcentral lists this ribosomal RNA (453 nucleotides) under uncultured Bacteroides sp. RNAcentral describes it as "partial 16S ribosomal RNA". It matches the Rfam family "Bacterial small subunit ribosomal RNA", at positions 341 to 792 of the family's 1533-position model. The record is from RNAcentral. Lineage: Bacteria; Pseudomonadati; Bacteroidota; Bacteroidia; Bacteroidales; Bacteroidaceae.